This 679-nucleotide long non-coding RNA is filed under the name Callithrix jacchus (white-tufted-ear marmoset). RNAcentral's name for it is "lncRNA (ENSCJAG00000082718.1)". The record is from RNAcentral. Lineage: Eukaryota; Metazoa; Chordata; Mammalia; Primates; Cebidae.
GUGAUGAAUUACCUUAGCAUUUGUUUGUCUGAAAGGAUCUUAUUUCUUGGUUAGAAUUUCCUUUCUUUAAGAGUGCUAAAAAUAAGCCCCCAGUCUCUUCUGGCUGGGCUUGAUUCUGGUAUAAGGUAAGUUCAGUUAAUUGCCUUUGGUUCUGGAAGAUUUGGGGUGGCUAAUGGUCAGCUCAAUACUCCUGGAUUGUGCCCUGUAACUUUGGGGGCUGGUACUAGGACCCCAGCUUUGUUCUUUGUCCCCUUGAGGGUAGGAAUCUGCUGUCCUGGAGGGACUGAGGUCUUCUCAGUCUGUAGGUUUUAACACUCUGACAGGGAGGGCUGGCCAAAGCACAUCACUGGGGUGGUGGCAGCAGGAUCAGUGCUUGCUUGCAUGUGCCAGCUGUGGUGUUGUGGUGAAGUACACCUGCAUUGGCUGGGGUGGGGUGCUGGGGGGAGCCUUUCUUAGUUUUCACAGGUUCCCUAUACUGGCAAAAACUUGUGGUCUUAGUAUUUGGCUGAGAUCCAGUAGGUGGCACUUAAGAGUGUUAACCAGCAGUCCACCAGGCUCCUUCAGGCAGGUUCUGUGGUUAGUAGACAGGAGGUAUCCUUGCCAGGGCAGCCCUAUGGGGAGAGCCACACCCUGCCCCUCCACUGGUUUGCAAACCUGGGCAUCACACCUCUCUCAGUGA